UAUUUGGAUUGCAAAAAUAUUGUUUGUUGUUUAUUUGAUUGUUAAUAUUACACGGUAUUGAUAUAAACAAUUGUCUUAUAUGUUAUAUUAUUUUAUUUUUUUUACAUUUUUUUUGUUCAGGUCAUUCAGUUGCAUGCCUGCACCUUGCACCUAGGCCCCAAAACCCCUUUGUGCCUUCAUGUGCCUUGCAUCUUUAACAACUAUGAACCCAAACAAAAAGUCAACAAUUGUGAUGAUAGACUUAAUGCAGUAGGUGGUAGAAG
This 263-nucleotide unclassified non-coding RNA is filed under the name Hevea brasiliensis (rubber tree). Lineage: Eukaryota; Viridiplantae; Streptophyta; Magnoliopsida; Malpighiales; Euphorbiaceae. The record is from RNAcentral.